This 24-nucleotide non-coding RNA is filed under the name Rattus norvegicus (Norway rat). The record is from RNAcentral. Lineage: Eukaryota; Metazoa; Chordata; Mammalia; Rodentia; Muridae.
UCUAAUGAAAUGAUCAUGUGGUUC